Molecule: long non-coding RNA, 568 nt
Filed under: Homo sapiens (human)
Lineage: Eukaryota; Metazoa; Chordata; Mammalia; Primates; Hominidae
Description: non-protein coding OIP5-AS1:26
Source: RNAcentral
AAGCUGCGAAGAUGGCGGAGUAAGGCGUGCCGCUGCAAACUGGCCUCUGGGCCGGGGGCGAGCAGCCCCCGGGAGGCCGAGUGCAUCUGUUGGACCGUGCGAGGAGAAGAAAAAAAAUAUCGGCCAGAGGAGAGGAACUAACCGAACAUUCUUCCUCCCUACCUUAUAGAGGGGAGUGGUCAUCUACACUAAAGCAAAGUGUUAGGCGCGUCCGUGCGAAGAGACCACCAAACAGGCUUUGUGUGAGUAAUAAAGCUAUUUAUUUCACCUGGGUGCAGGCGGGCUGAGUCCAAAAAGGAGUCAGCAAAGGGAGUUAGGGGUGGGCAGUUUUAUAGGAUUUGGGUAGGUAGUGGAAAAUUACAGUCAAAGGGGGUUGUGUUCUUGCGGGCAGGGGUGGGGGUCACAAGGUGCUCAGUGGGGGUGCUUCUGAGCCAGGAGAUGGAAUUUCACAAGGUAAUGUCAUCAGUCAAGGCAGGAACUGGCCAUUUUCACUUCUUUUGUGAUUCUUCUGUUGCUUCAGACCAUCUGGAUAUAUACGUGCAGGCUUGGGCUCAGAGGCCUGACACAA